Molecule: ribosomal RNA, 254 nt
Filed under: uncultured Luteolibacter sp.
Lineage: Bacteria; Pseudomonadati; Verrucomicrobiota; Verrucomicrobiia; Verrucomicrobiales; Verrucomicrobiaceae
Description: partial 16S ribosomal RNA
Rfam family: Bacterial small subunit ribosomal RNA
Source: RNAcentral
UACGAAGGUCCCGAGCGUUGUUCGGAAUCACUGGGCGUAAAGGGAGCGUAGGCGGCGUGGCAAGUCAGACGUGAAAUACCGGGGCUCAACCCCGGAACUGCGUCCGAUACUGCCGCGCUCAGAGGGUUGGAGAGGUGGCCGGAAUUCUUGGUGUAGCAGUGAAAUGCGUGGAUAUCAAGAGGAACACCCGUGGCGAAAGCGGGCCACUGGACAACACCUGACGCUGAGGCUCGAAGGCCAGGGUAGCGAAAGGG